UGGUGUGUGUAUACAGAUGUGUAAAAAUAACUCGCUUAUAAUGCCAUCGACAUCUCUUUGUUAAGCAAGCCUUUAUUCUAUAACCCACAAUCAUCAUAAUUAAAUCCCGUUGAUCCCUUGACAUACAGGAAUCCUUCCUCAUCGUUUGAUGGUGUCAGUGCUAAUCAGCCCUUGCAGCUGCUUGGACAGAGCUGGGCACAUCGCUUCAAGUAUGUCUGGUGUCGCCACAUCUGGCCUGGGUAGAGAUGCGUCUUCCUUGGCAGGACCUUUUGUGGCGCGCAGCUCCAUCGGGACCACGCCUCGUGACAACGACAAAUUGCCACCCCCUUUCUUCUUCAGUUAACAGUUCUGGGACAGAGGUUGUGGGCUAGGACUAGAGCCAAUGUAGACGGAGAUGAAGACCAUGAAGAGCAGGAGUAGAAAGAGACUGGCUGCCACGGCGGUCACUGCAAACAGCUCCAUCCUCAGCUUAGCACUCGCGACCAGGACUCCUGGACUGCAGUGAAGCAAAGGGUUGCCAUGGGAACCGCAGUGGCGCCCCCCGCGGAACCCCGCGUUUAUUACGGAGAAUCGAUCUGCACCAGGCACCGAGGCUGCUACUGCGGAGGCCGCUGGAGGCUAGCAAGGGGAGGCGAGGGGGGUGGGGAGCAAAGGCGCAGGGCAUCCGCCCCUCCCCCACCCGCCUCCAUCCAUCUGGGUUCAAGAACAGCAGAAAUUGCGUUUAGUGCAAAUUGCUGAAGCUCCCUACUCCGUCCUCAGUGGUGGGUGGCACGGUGGCUCGCGGGGAGCAGACGACAGGGAAAGUCGGAACACCGGUGCCAUGAAUCCCCUUCGUCCCCUCCGCAGCCUGCCAGCAGUAUGGGAAUCAAAGGCCUGUCUCGCUGGGGCCCCCGGGAUCCUGCGGAUCCGUGGGGGGCGGGCAGGAUCUGCCUCCAGAAUCCCACAAACCCUACGUGAGCGAGUUCGAGGCCAGAGGGCAGGCUUGCAGGUCCAUCCCCCCCGCCCCCCAACCAGCCAGGACAGCACUUAAUCACCGUGUCGCCUGUGGCGUGCCCUUAAGUCUGAGAGGAAAAGAAAAUUCUCCUGGAAUCUUCGUUAGAAAAUCAUUUCCUUUAUUAGCCCUCAGUUCCGGGAGCCAAGGACACUUGAAGGCACGGUUGGGGUCCUGAAGGAAGAGAUGGGGUCCGGACUGGAGACAGCCAUCUCUGUUUGCAGCCCCCGAGACGGAGUCACUCAUCCACCUUGUCUCCCGACUGACUCUCCUGCUCUGGUGUGCUGGAGGAGGCCAGAGGUCAGAUUUCCUGGAGUUGGAGUUAUCUAUCGGCAGCUCUGAGCUGCCCGAAAUGGAUACAGGGAACCAAAGAGGAGUCCUCUGCAAGAGGAGUACCUGCUCUUAACUGGUUGUUAAGUGCUGAAGAGACAUCAAUCCAAGGCUAAUGAGGAGGUAGUUUGACAACUGGUCCCGCCCCGACUCCUGUGAUUCAGACCAGCUCUGGGACUGCCCAACCAGCAACCAGUUGGUGCUCGCGUCUUGCCAGAUUUAUGAAAUGUGCUUGGGAUGUGGAGAAGGUAGAGGUGAGAUUUUUACUCUAGAUGAAGCUACAACAUCUGCUAUAAAUACUGAGGCUUGAAAAGCUGA
Long non-coding RNA from Mastomys coucha (southern multimammate mouse), 1639 nucleotides. RefSeq lists it as uncharacterized. NCBI's taxonomy places the organism in Eukaryota, Metazoa, Chordata, Mammalia, Rodentia, Muridae. The transcript is spliced from 3 exons. The record is from RefSeq and is a predicted model, not a curated record.